GGGGAAUAUUGGGCAAUGGGCGAAAGCCUGACCCAGCGACGCCGCGUGAAGGAAGAAGGUCUUCGGAUUGUAAACUUCUGUUAUGGGGGACGAACACAUGACGGUACCCCAUGAGAAAGCCACGGCUAACUACGUGCCAGCAGCCGCGGUAAUACGUAGGUGGCGAGCGUUAUCCGGAUUUACUGGGUGUAAAGGGUGUGUAGGCGGGACUGCAAGUCAGAUGUGAAAACCAUGGGCUCAACCCAUGAAUUGCUUUCAAAACUGUUUUUCUUGAGUAGUGCAGAGGUAGAUGGAAUUCCCGGUGUAGCGGUGGAAUGCGUAGAUAUCGGGAGGAACACCAGUGGCGAAGGCGGUCUACUGGGCACCAACUGACGCUGAGGCUCGAAAGCAUGGGUAGCAAACAGGAUUAGAUACCCUGGUAGUCCAUGCCGUAAACGAUGAUUACUAGGUGUUGGGGGAUUGACCCCCUCAGUGCCGCAGUUAACACAAUAAGUAAUCCACCUGGGGAGUACGACCGCAAGGUUGAAACUCAAAGGAAUUGACGGGGGCCCGCACAAGCAGUGGAGUAUGUGGUUUAAUUCGAAGCAACGCGAAGAACCUUACCAGGUCUUGACAUCCGAUGCAUAGCACAGAGAUGUGUGAAAUCCUUCGGGACAUCGAGACAGGUGGUGCAUGGUUGUCGUCAGCUCGUGUCGUGAGAUGUUGGGUUAAGUCCCGCAACGAGCGCAACCCCUGUGAUUAGUUGCCAACACGUAAAGGUGGGAACUCUAAUCAGACUGCCGGUGAUAAACCGGAGGAAGGUGGGGAUGACGUCAAAUCAUCAUGCCCCUUAUGGCCUGGGCUACACACGUACUACAAUGGCGUCUACAAAGAGCGGCAAGCCUGUGAAGGCAAGCGAAUCUCAUAAAGGACGUCUCAGUUCGGAUUGAAGUCUGCAACCCGACUUCAUGAAGCUGGAAUCGCUAGUAAUCGCGAAUCAGCAUGUCGCGGUGAAUACGUUCUCG
This 1004-nucleotide ribosomal RNA is filed under the name uncultured bacterium. RNAcentral's name for it is "bacterial SSU rRNA". It matches the Rfam family "Bacterial small subunit ribosomal RNA", at positions 356 to 1376 of the family's 1533-position model. The record is from RNAcentral.